AUUAUCGUUUAACGUAAGUUUUGACGAAUAAUUCUUCUCGAAAAUUCGAUUAAAUUUAUUUCUAUAUAUUAAUAAACGACAUUGUAAUAAUUAAUUUUCAAUCUUUUACAGAUCGAACAGCUGGUCAUCUUCAGUAGAAUAGUCUCUUGAUCGAUCGUUCGAAAUUAUUUAUUCCCUAUUUAUCAAUACACAAAUAUCUUGCAUAAAUAUAAUUGCGAAAAGCGAUUUAGGGACUCGGUGAUAAAACAUCCUCUCGAAGCUGAUCGAACGAUACUCUCAAUUCUCUUAAUGCCAGAGGAACUCGGCUCGGUAUAAUUCAGCAAGGGGUGGUAGCUGAUAGCGGUAAGUGAUGGACAUUGGUAAUGUGCUGCAUCUGCUUUGCCACGAGGCGAGGCGUUCGAGCUUUUAUUAAACACGCUCUUUGUUCCGUGGAAAAAGAAACACGAAAGCGAGAACGAUUGUCUUCCUAAAAGAAAGGAGGGGGCAGAAAAAUUAAAUAAUCCCACCCUUCGAAAAGCACUUUCUCGUUCAAGGAUAUGAUUUAUACUUGUCAAUAUAUUGUUCCUUCAACUUUGAAUUAUUAGAUUAUUGGAUGUAUAUAUAAAUAUUAAUAUGUUAUAAUACAUUGCGCAACAUUUUGUAAAUUACACGUGUUGCGUAUAUUUAAGACAGGAGGUAAAUUAUUAAUAAAAUCUAUGGAUCUAUUGAUCUAUAAUCUAAUAAUUAAAAAAUUUGAAUUUUACAGUUUUGUAAUAAACAUUUUAUUCGGUUCAUCAAUUGGCAUAUUUAUAACACUUGUGAAAUUGAAGAGGGAGAAAAGGUGUAUAAUAGUGGAAAAAGACAGGAGUUUUGUAUCCGGAUAAACAUUUUAUUCAUAACACUUGCAAAAUUGAAGAGGGA
Molecule: long non-coding RNA, 900 nt
Organism: Apis florea (little honeybee)
Lineage: Eukaryota; Metazoa; Arthropoda; Insecta; Hymenoptera; Apidae
Source: RefSeq, a predicted model, not a curated record